AAGAAUUUAAAAGUCGAACAGACUUAUUUUAUUGAACUUCUACACCCAAUAAUAUCUCUUAAUCCAACAUCGAGGUCGCAAUCUUUUUUAUCGAUAUGAACUCUCUAAAAAAAUUACG
Molecule: ribosomal RNA, 118 nt
Filed under: Stratiomyidae sp. CH-2014
Lineage: Eukaryota; Metazoa; Arthropoda; Insecta; Diptera; Stratiomyidae
Description: partial 16S ribosomal RNA
Source: RNAcentral